AAUAUAAAGAAAAGACCUAUUUUUCAACCGUGGCCACCCUCUUUUAUUAAAAUGUCCUUAAUUUCACCGCAUAUUUGCAAAACACCUACUGAAUCUCAUCUUCAUUGUUUCUCUCGGUUCGUUUUUUUUUCAAUUCCUUUUAUUCUCUUUCUUCUUCGUACAGAUUGAUUUUCUCUACUCAGAAUUUGAGAUCUCUCUUUUGAUUUUCUCCUUCUAUACCCAAUCUGUUUCAUUCCUUAUUUAACCUGAGUUGGUGUUCAGGGGAUGUGCUUCAGAAUUCACUUAAUUCAUCCAUAUUCAUCUCUGGGGUUCGUGAAUGGGUAGGUCAUUCUCUUUGUCGAUUCAUCUCUUAAUGAAAUCCAAAUCCAAAACACACCCACACCCUUAAUACACUGUUGGCUCCCAUUCCUAAUAUCCAGAUGGAUUUAAUGGAACAUAAAAAACCAUCCGUUGCCACCUGUGAUUUCUAUUGAGGCUGACCUAUUUUAAUGCUAACAAAACAUUAGUACUUCCCCGAUGAAUAAAUAUCAAUGAUUGUUCAACCAUCUCUCCCACUUCUGUGAUGAAAGCUUGAUGUUGGUUUACAGGGAAUAAUAAACAGAGAACUAGCAAGUCCGGCGACCGUGGUGGAGGGGAGAAAGACAGAGGAUCGGUCUAAGAUUGUUAAAUUACCGAAAAUAAUUCUUCUCAAACACGUGGUUUCCAUGCGUAAAACGUGUACAAGUGCCCUUUGAGAUCAAGGCACCCAGACUUUGCAAUUGGGCCGUUUCGAGCAUCCAGUUCUCCAGAAAGGGAGUAAAAGGUUUGACAAGUGACCAUUUCCACAGAAAACACUUUUUUUUUGUGUGCAAAUGGAUUUUUUACGGGAAGAAAAUUAUUGAGUGCAAAAUUCGGUUUGGUUUGGAACAAAAUUACAGGUGCAUCGCGCAUGUGUCUACACUGGUUAUUAUAAAUAAAUCGGUUUUAGUUAGUUUAGUUAAGAUGUGGGGAUGCACGUGCGAGGAUGAUGUUGCACGUGACUAUAAGGGGGGCCAAAGCGAGAUGGGAAACCUAGAAAUGAUGAACAGACGGACAGUAGCAGGAGAGAAGGAUGAUCCUUUCCAAAACCUUCCGCUCCUUAAAAUCACACAUUGAAACUCCCAUACCCCAAAAUCAAUCAUCAACAUCCCCAUCACCAUCAUCGUGGUCGGUCUAUCUGAUUCUCUCCACCAACGCACCUCUAAAAACAUAUGUUGGUGUCACCACCAAUUUUUCUCGCCGUCUGAAACAACACAAUGGUGAACUCAAAGGUGGAGCCAAAGCAUCACGUUCAGGAAGACCUUGGAUUUGUGCAUGCAUUAUUCAAGGAUUCAAAGACCAUAGGCGAAGUUUAAGGUGGUUACACUAGGGAUACCUUUGAGCCUUAAAAAUUGCAGAGAGUGAAAACGUAGUUGUACGUGUGCACACCACUGCAGUAUCUUGUUCGCCAAAACUUCCAACUUUGUAUCGUUAGGUGAUGACCCUUGCAAAUCCUUUGGCUGAAGGACUAGCAAGAGGGAAAUUCUGUAUACAUCAAAGGAAGUACAAUCACAAUUAGUAGUCUCUCUCGCUUUCUCGUUUAACGUUUUUGUAUCUGUUCGGAGAUAUUUGCCUUUCACAAUCACAAUCAGCAAGAUGAUUUGCAUUUUUGCCUUCUGCUCAUGCUUUGCAUCUGUUUAUUUUGGUGAAGCCUGAAUAUACUGAUAUCUAUGUACAAUGAUGGAAAUAACAGGAGGUAUAAUAAUAAAUACAGAAGAUACCUAUGGUCACAAUCCUCUGUGCAUCCGUUGCUAAUGGCUUAGAAUUAGACUCCACAGAACACUAGAUAGUCUGUAGUUCUGUACCAUGACUUGUUACUUAUAAGCGACAUCACAAAAAUGAAAUUCCUCGUAAAGAUGAUUUCUUGUGAGUCAUCUUGAGUCUUACUGAUUUGGUGAACAAGCUUAGUGUUGUAGGAUAAAACAUGCUCUAAAUUGGCAUGAACUAUUUUGAACUGGAGUUCAGUUGGUAUCCAGUUUCAAGUCUCCAGGUGUAACAAAGUGGACUUGCUGGUUUUUGAGAUCUGAGCAUUAUUCUUUCCAUGCUGUCUUGGGAUCAUUGUUUCAAAAAACUCUUUGAAGCUCGCUUUUUAGCCCUUCAAUAUAAAAACGCUUCAAAACGUCCCCUUUAAUAUUUUAGGAAAAAAGAGGGCUUUAAAGCCCAAAAACAAGUCCGGAGUUUCCUUUUUUGUUUUAAUAAAAAAAAAAACCCUAAAAACUAUUAUCAACUCUCAACAAGCUACCUAUUUGGAGACUUCAAAUGUUUCACCUUCUAUUCUACAUCUUCUUCUUCUUCUUCCGUUAUAUUCUACGUUUUUAUUCUUCUGAUCUGCAAUGGCUAGCCUGCCUGCCCAAGCUAAGAAAUCUACACUACUAUUCUUCUGAUCUUACUUUCAUAUGGUUUUGUGUUAAGAAGUUUAUCUAUUUAUUUAUAUAUAUUUUUUGAAGCUACGCUUCAACAACGUUUUGAAGCUGUGCUUUGCACUUUAUUAGGAUAGCGUUUCGCUUUUUGAAACCUUGCCUGGGAUGAUCGUGACUCCAGUCUCCAGAUGCAUCAGAUUCUGAAUUCGAUUUUUUUUUAUCACAAUAGCCUUUGUUGUUAUGCAGUAUAUUGUUUAGGGACCAACAUCCACCUUUUCUAUCAUAAUCUGUUACUGAGUUCAUCUGUAUAUGAUAUUUGCGAGAUUCAUUUAUGACCAAAUGAAGAGAAGUCUCGAGUAUUUUACUCAAAA
Molecule: long non-coding RNA, 2788 nt
Organism: Papaver somniferum (opium poppy)
Lineage: Eukaryota; Viridiplantae; Streptophyta; Magnoliopsida; Ranunculales; Papaveraceae
Exons: 3
Source: RefSeq, a predicted model, not a curated record